ACGGGAGGCAGCAGUGGGGAAUAUUGCGCAAUGGGGGAAACCCUGACGCAGCAACGCCGCGUGAAGGAAGAAGGUUUUCGGAUUGUAAACUUCUGUCGCAAGGGAAGAAUAAAGUGACGGUACCUUGUGAGAAAGUCACGGCUAACUACGUGCCAGCAGCCGCGGUAAUACGUAGGUGACGAGCGUUGUCCGGAUUUACUGGGUGUAAAGGGCGCGUAGGCGGGAUAGCAAGUCAGAUGUGAAAUACCGAGGCUCAACCUCGGGGCUGCAUUUGAAACUGUUAUUCUUGAGUGUCGGAGAGGAAAGCGGAAUUCCUAGUGUAGCGGUGAAAUGCGUAGAUAUUAGGAGGAACACCGGUGGCGAAGGCGGCUUUCUGGACGAUAACUGACGCUGAGGCGCGAAAGUGUGGGGAGCAAACAGGAUUAGAUACCCUGGUA
This 437-nucleotide ribosomal RNA is filed under the name uncultured Clostridium sp. Its description in RNAcentral is "partial 16S ribosomal RNA". It matches the Rfam family "Bacterial small subunit ribosomal RNA", at positions 341 to 792 of the family's 1533-position model. Lineage: Bacteria; Bacillati; Bacillota; Clostridia; Eubacteriales; Clostridiaceae. The record is from RNAcentral.